RNAcentral lists this small RNA (594 nucleotides) under Pan troglodytes (chimpanzee). RNAcentral's name for it is "retained intron". The record is from RNAcentral. Lineage: Eukaryota; Metazoa; Chordata; Mammalia; Primates; Hominidae.
GGAAUGAAAGACCCGGCUGUGUCUUUCAGGUCUGAUCUCAGAGCUGAAGCUGGCUGUGCCCUGGGGCCACAUCGCAGCCAAAGCCUGGGGCCCUGCAGGGCCCUCCCGUUCUCUGCCUGCACGGCUGGCUGGACAAUGCCAACUCCUUCAACAGACUCAUCCCUCUUCUCCCGCAAGACUUUUAUUACGUUGCCAUGGAUUUCGGAGGUCAUGGGCUCUCGUCCCAUUACAGCCCAGGUGUCCCAUAUUACCUCCAGACUUUUGUGAGUGAGAUCCGAAGAGUUGCGGCAGCCUUGAAAUGGAAUCGAUUCUCCAUUCUGGGCCACAGCUUCGGUGAGUACACUGGCCAGGAGCUGACCGGGCCCGGAGUACGGCUGGGAGGGAAGGAUAGGAGCUGCUGCCCCACCCUUUUCCCCUGCACUUAUGAGAUCUGCAAAGAGAGAUGAGAGGGUCAGUCAGAGGUUGACCACUGUACCCUCUGACCUCAGGCAACUGCCGCAAGGGACACAGGGAUGAGGGAAAUGUGGUCUUUUGAGUGGUCAGGUCUGAUGAAGGGGCGAUCAUGGCCCAGAUGCUGAGCCCCCAGCCACCCAU